RNAcentral lists this ribosomal RNA (465 nucleotides) under uncultured bacterium. Its description in RNAcentral is "bacterial SSU rRNA". It matches the Rfam family "Bacterial small subunit ribosomal RNA", at positions 338 to 795 of the family's 1533-position model. The record is from RNAcentral.
CCUACGGGAGGCACCAGUAGGGAAUCUUCGGCAAUGGACGAAAGUCUGACCGAGCAACGCCGCGUGAGUGAAGAAGGUUUUCGGAUCGUAAAACUCUGUUGUUAGAGAAGAACAAGGACGUUAGUAACUGAACGUCCCCUGACGGUAUCUAACCAGAAAGCCACGGCUAACUACGUGCCAGCAGCCGCGGUAAUACGUAGGUGGCAAGCGUUGUCCGGAUUUAUUGGGCGUAAAGCGAGCGCAGGCGGUUUCUUAAGUCUGAUGUGGAAGCCCCCGGCUCAACCGGGGAGGGUCAUUGGAAACUGGGAGACUUGAGUACAGAAGAGGAGAGUGGAAUUCCAUGUGUAGCGGUGAAAUGCGUGGAUAUAUGGAGGAACACCAGCGGCGAAGGCGGCUCUCUGGUCUGUAACUGACGCUGAGGCUCGAAAGCGUGGGGAGCAAACAGGAUUAGAUACCCGGGUAGUC